GCAAAAAUCACACAGUAGAAACAAAAUAGUUUAAAGGCCAAUAACAGAGCAGAAAAAAAACUAAAACCAAAGAAACAAACAGCCACAAAACAAAAACAUUAGCAGGAAAAACCCAAAAUGGAUACCAGCCAAAAGCCUUACGAUUGAAAAAACCCAUUCAAAGCUCGAAGGGGCCGAAAGAAGGUAGCUUUGAAGCCAGCAAUGGAGAUUCAAACUGAACCUUCUCCAACCUUCAAAGCUCAGAAAACCCUUAACGAUGAUGAAACCAUGCAGACUGAUCCAUCUCUACUAGCUUUGCAACAGGAUCCGGAGCUUCCUCAACCCAGAAACAAGAGGUGUUUCGAUGGCGUCCAUCCAUUGCCAAAGCGUGCGCCGCCCUAUUAACCUCUCUGGGAACAAAACGGUACACAACGUUAUCAAAAGCUCUCUAAUAAUUGAAUAUUUUGCGUAAUCGAUCUAAGGAUAGAUCUGUCCUCUUUGGUCGAGUUUAAUUUUUUGAUAGUUGUCAGGGAGUCUCCUUCCAAGAUAAGUUUACUGAAGCCCAUAUCCUACGCAAAAUAAAGAGCCCUUUCACACAUACGCAUUUCUACAACAAGCACCCAUAAUCUGGCCUUCCGCAUCUCUAGCUAGGACUGCUACAAUAGAUACAUUAGUGUUGCUCAUAAAAGAAGCAUCAAAGUUCAGUUUAAUAUUUCUAACUGUAGGUGGUUGCCACAAAACGUUCAUUGCUACUUCCAGAGGAGAGACAAUAACUUUACUACUGCUAAAAUCCUGAGCAUAGCUCAGAAUAAAGCCCAUAAGUUCACGUAUCCUGAAGUUAAGUCCCUCAUUUACCAACUUAUUCCUUUUAUACCAAAGAGCCCACAAAGAAAUAGUAAUGAGUUUCUUGGACAACAUAUCAGCAGCUAGAAAAUUAUUACAAAUUGUGUUUUCCAUUCGAGGUAUCAAUGCUGGAGUCGAAAGAGAGAUUCAAAAGAACCCAGAGUUGUCUCAAGACGCUACAAGUCCAAAAUAAGUGAUGUGAAUCCUUUGGAGCCUCAUUGCACAAAGGACAGGUAGUAUCAACUCGCAGUCUCCGUUUGGCCAAAUUACAGAAAUGAGGCACAUAAUUUUUUAGGAUACGCCAUAGAUGAAUUUUAAUUUUAGCAGGGAGCUACAAGCCCCAAGUUGAUGUAUAAAGUGUUUUGUAAUUAUCCGAUGAGGCCAAAAUACCAUCUUUAAAUUGGGUCAUUUUUGUAAGUAAUGUUCGGUAGCCGCUCUUAACCGAAAACUCCCCAGAAGCAUCAUGGCGCAAGACCAAUGUAUCCUGAGCAUUACAACCCGUAAGAGGAAUAGUAAGGAUGCGCCUAACCUGUUCAUCAUCAACAAUCUUGCAAAUUACAGCCUUGUUCCAGGUACCAGUGUUAGCAUUAAUUAACUGAUCAACAGUUGUCCAGUGAGUAUCUAUAGCCUGUACUAACAAUCUACCAUUCCAAGGACCAAGCAACCAGGGGUCAUUCCAGAUGUUCACCUUCGUACCACAGCCAAUUCGCCGCAGAAGUCCAUCAUCAAACAGCUCCCUCACACAGCAGAUACUUCUCCAGGUAAAAGAAGGGUAAGAGCCGAUUUUAGUUCACAAAAUAUCAGUGAAUGGAUAAUAACGAGAUUUAAGAACUUUAGAUAAAAGACAAUCGGACUGCGAUAAAAGACGCCAAACUUGCUUAGCUAAAAGAGAUUUAUUAAAUAAAUAAAGAUCCCAAAAACCCAGCCUACCAUUAACCUUUGGCAAACAUAGUGCACUCCAGGUACUCUAGUGAAUUCCUUUCGCAGAUUUACUGUUUGACCACCAAAAUUUAUUCAUAAUACGAUGACAUUAUUCUUUUGGCAAUGCAAAACAUUGCAUAACAUAAACCAAUAUUGCUUGUAAAACUGCCUUUAUAAAAACCUCUUUACCACCCAUUGAAAGGUACCUAAAGCUCCACCUCUCUAUACGCCGUCGAAACCUGUCAACAAAAUUUGCAAAUGCCUUUUUUUUUCUACCCAAUUAUCAUGGGUAAACCCGAAUACUUUUCAGGGUUCAUUGACAUCCUAACACCCAGAGUGUUAAUAAUAAAAUUCCUAUCCUCAGCCCCCACACAAGCACCAAAAUAAAUGAGUGACUUGUCCAAAUUAAUUUGUUGUCCUGAUGGAAAUUCAUAUUCCAAAAGGAUCUUGCUUACAAUGUGUGCCCGUUCAGCCGAAGCAUCACCAAAAAUGAUGCAAUCAUUUUCAAACAACAAGUGGGUAAUCGCUAACUUACCCCUACCAAUCAAAACUCAUCGCAUUGUAUGAUUACGCUUAGCCAUUUUCAAUAAAGAAGAAAGACCUUCCGCACAAAGAAGAAAAAGGUAAGGGUUAAGCUGGUCGCCUUGCCUUAGUCCUUUCGACGGAGUAAAAUGAUCACUAACAUCCUCAUUAAUACCCACUAUAUAUGUAACCAAGCAAACACACCGCAUAAUGAGAACAAUCCAAUUUUGAUGAAAAUUCAGUCUAGACAUCAUUCCAGCCAAAAAAUCUCAUUCCACCCGGUCAUACGCUUUGCUAAGGUUAAGUUUAAGCGCAAAAUUCUCGUUUUUAUUCUUUUUCUUUAUCUUAAGAGAAUGAAGCACCUCAUAGGCAAUUAAUGUAUUGUCUGAUAUAUGCCUCCCGGGAAUAAAAGCACCCUGAGAUUCAUCAAUACAAUAUUUUAGAAUUGGACUCAUACGAGCUACCAGUACCUUCGCAAUAAUCUUAUAAAACAUGGUGCAUAAGUUGUAGGCCUAAACUGAGACAGAUUUUUUGGUUUGUCCACUUUGGGGAUGAAAACCAAAUGAGUUCUAUUAAUGUUGCCCAUUUCAAUUCUGCCAUUUAAAACCUCCAAACAAUAGUUUAAGAUCUCAUCACCUACAAGAUGCCUAAGAAAUAAAUAUGGUUAGUUGGGGAUAAUAUUUGUAUCUUUUUGAAAAUAAAAUAGUUAUUUUAUCCUUUAUUUUUCUUUUAUUUUUUUCUCUCCCUCAAUUUUUCCCACGUUCAAUUGUGGGGUAGUUUUCAUUUUUAUAUUUUUCCCUUUUUUCCUUCCUUUAUUUAUACAUCUGUUCUUCUUUCUCAACUCUUUGGUUCUCUUUUAUUUUCCUUGGUUGCAAGGAUUGUUCUCUUACAUUCUUGUCAAUACUGGUUGAGUUCCUUUGUUUCGGUUGUGGGCUUAAAUCGUAGAG
RNAcentral lists this long non-coding RNA (3212 nucleotides) under Gossypium barbadense (sea-island cotton). RNAcentral describes it as "long non-coding RNA (GBAR_LNC005011)". Lineage: Eukaryota; Viridiplantae; Streptophyta; Magnoliopsida; Malvales; Malvaceae. The record is from RNAcentral.